ACUAGACUAGGACGACCAGGGACCGACUAGGAGUCGACUAAUCGCCCUAGUCGUCGCCUAAUCGCGACUAGUCGCCUGGUCGGUCCUAGGGAUCGACUAGGCGACUUGAAAUCAUUGGGCAUAUGUACAUUAAGACAAAAAUAAAAACAGUUUCUAACUGUUCCUCACUUCCUCUACAGUUAUAGAAGAGUUUAUUUUGGCACAUCACAAUAUUUGUAGAGGUAGGAAGCUGUCAGUGGCUGGUCCAGUAUUCCAGCACCAUGCUUGCAGGACAGUCAGGGCAAUGUGCAGAUGCAAUCGUUUUUUAACGCUUACUAUCAAUCUUAAUUUUAUGUGUUUCAAAAAAAGAAAGAACAUGUGGACCAUGGCUCCAUGAUCCUUGUACGAGAGACAAUACAUGCAGUAUGGUGUAAUGUGCCUCCAGAAGCAUGUUAAGGUUUCUAUGUUGUUUGGAUAUGAUUAUUCUGGAGGGCCGCAUCAUUUAUUUGGCAGCAACAUUAGUCACUUAGUUUCUGGAUGCUGCUAUGCUGCUCUUGUUCACCACUUACUAAUAUUCAUCAACAACAAAACAAACUUCUAAAUGUGGCUGCAUAAUAGAGUAUGGGUACUUGUACAUCUAUCUCAACAGAUGAAAAGAAAUGAUAAGUCAUUUCCUCGAUAACUUAUGUUUUAUUACUGUCUCACUGAUUUUUUUUAAAAAAAGUCACGAGCCAAUUGCAACAAAAUGGAAUGAACUGCUAUUAUUGAUGAACAUAACAUUGCUGAAAUGCCUAUAGAAUGACGAUUAAUCCAGCAGCUCAGCAAUGGUAGAUCAAGAAUCAACCUUCGCCAUGGCCUCAACCCUCCCAGCGAGGAGCUUCUCGACGUACUUCCCCAGUAUAUCCGCCUCCAGGUUCACCUUGUCUCCGACCUUCUUGGUCGGCAGCACGAUGUUGUCCUGCGUGUACCUGACGAGCAUGAAGUCAAACCAGCCGCCCUCGUCGUCCACACUGACAACAGUGAGGCUAGUGCCGUCGACGGCGACGAAGCCCUUGGGCACGAGCAGCCGGAGGAUCUCCGGCGGGGCGCGCACGGUGACCCAGAGCGAGUCCCCGUCCGGCCGGAACGCAGCGAUCUCCCCGGUUCCGUCGACGUGGCCCUGCACGAAGUGCCCGCCCAUGCGGGACGACGGCGUGAGCGCGCGCUCGAGGUUGACACCAUCGCCCGGGGCGCGCCCUCCCAGGGACGUCCGGCGGAGCGUCUCCGGGGCCACGCCGAAAGUGAGCGUGGACGCGGCCGGGUCGAUCGCCGCCACGGUGAGGCAGGCGCCGUCGACCGCCACGCUGUCACCGAGCUGCGUUCCAGCGAGGAGGUUCUUGGUCUCGACCUCCAAGUCAAGGCCAGGAGCCUCGCCGCCACCGCCGCCCCCAGACGGCGUGAGCGGCGGGCCGAGACGGCGCACGCGGCCGACCUCCUCGACGAUGCCGGUGAAUAGGGACCGUACAGGGACGUGGGAGGAGGAGGCGGCGGAGAGGCUCUUCGGGACGGGGGAGAGAGAGAACCGCGGCGGCGGCAAACGCAGGCGCGCGGGCGUGCAGGCCGCACCCCGCGAGGAGAAAGGAAGCGUGGCGGGACCCGAAGGAGAUGGGAGGAGACCCCCGCCGCCGCGGCGGAGGAGCAGGUGCGGGCUGCGGUGGUGGACGGCGGCAACCGCAGCGGCUGGCGGCGCCAUCGCCAGAGAUUCCUCCGGCAGUUCGCGGUGGCAGGUGGGGGAGGUUUUUUUUUUCCUUUUGGGCUAGUAUAACAGUUUUAAGGGCCGG
Molecule: unclassified non-coding RNA, 1799 nt
Filed under: Zea mays
Lineage: Eukaryota; Viridiplantae; Streptophyta; Magnoliopsida; Poales; Poaceae
Description: misc RNA Zm00001eb410200
Source: RNAcentral